CAAUAGCGUAUAUUAAAGUUGUUGCAGUUAAAAAGCUCGUAGUUGGAUUUCUGGUUGAAGCGACCGGUCGGGCGUUGAUUCGUCUGCACUGGAGUCGGCUUUGGCCAUCCUCUAGGAAAGUGCGUCUGGUAUUAAGUUAUCGGGCGUAUGAUCCUGGUCUUUUACUGUGAAAAAAUUAGAGUGUUUAAAGCAGGCCUUCGCCUUGAAUACAUUAGCAUGGAAUAAUAAGAUAGGACUUUGGUCUAUUUUGUUGGUUUGCAGACCGAAGUAAUGAUUAAUAGGGAUAGUUGGGGGUAUUUAUAUUCCGAUGUCAGAGGUGAAAUUCUUAGAUUUUCGGAAGAUAAACUUAUGCGAAAGCAUUUACCAAGGAUGUUUNCAUUAA
This 382-nucleotide ribosomal RNA is filed under the name uncultured eukaryote. RNAcentral's name for it is "partial 18S ribosomal RNA". It matches the Rfam family "Eukaryotic small subunit ribosomal RNA", at positions 592 to 976 of the family's 1831-position model. The record is from RNAcentral.